RNAcentral lists this unclassified non-coding RNA (253 nucleotides) under uncultured Flavobacteriaceae bacterium. RNAcentral's name for it is "contains 16S-23S intergenic spacer region". It matches the Rfam family "Bacterial small subunit ribosomal RNA", at positions 524 to 776 of the family's 1533-position model. The record is from RNAcentral. Lineage: Bacteria; Pseudomonadati; Bacteroidota; Flavobacteriia; Flavobacteriales; Flavobacteriaceae.
UACGGAGGGUGCAAGCGUUAUCCGGAAUCAUUGGGUUUAAAGGGUCCGUAGGCGGAUAAUUAAGUCAGAGGUGAAAUCCCACAGCUUAACUGUGGAACUGCCUUUGAUACUGGUUAUCUUGAGUUAAAUUGAGGUAGAUAGAAUGUGUAGUGUAGCGGUGAAAUGCUUAGAUAUUACACAGAAUACCGAUUGCGAAGGCAGUCUACUAAAUGUACACUGACGCUGAGGGACGAAAGCGUGGGGAGCGAACAGG